RNAcentral lists this long non-coding RNA (29839 nucleotides) under Triticum aestivum (bread wheat). RNAcentral describes it as "long non-coding RNA (TAES_LNC022570)". The record is from RNAcentral. Lineage: Eukaryota; Viridiplantae; Streptophyta; Magnoliopsida; Poales; Poaceae.
AUUGGUCAUGUGAGAGACUGAUCAAGACUAAGUCAAAGAGUGAAUCAAGUUGAUCAACACACAAAGCGUAGAAGAUGUACUGAGAGGGAUCAAGUGAUCCCAUGGUAUGGUAAGCAUUGUCAAUUACUCUUUGUGUACUAACCCAUUGUGAUAGCCUGGCUUAUUAGGGAUGAUAGACUACUCAUAUCAAUAAGAAAUUCCUUCUUUUUCGGGAUCCCAUUCAGACAGAACUCCAAAGUUAAGCAUGCUCAGCUUGAAGUAGUUUCAGGAUGGGUGACCGACAGGGAAGUUGCUCCCGGGUGCGCAUGAGUGAGGGCAAAGUGCGUAGAAAAGACUAGUAUUGAUCUGUGGGGCCAGUCUAGAUCCCGCCAGGAGUAACGACCACCGGCAGGUGUGUCCGGGGCAUUACAAGUUGGUAUCAGAGCCGACCCUCGCGACUACACGGAUGUUUGCGGAAAGGUGCGUGGUCAUGUUGUUCAUGAUGUUUGUGACCCGUCGUGGCACACGACAUGGCACAUGUACCGGACUGGAUGCACAGACGUAUGUGCCAAGAGGGAACGUGCCUGUGGCCCAACGAGGACGUCGGUUCCUCUGAGUGGGGGUGUAUGUGAUAGCCUGGCUUAUUAGGGAUGAUAGACUACUCAUAUCAAUAAGGAAUUCCUUCUUUUCUGGGAGCCCAUUCGAACAGAACUCCAAAGUUAAGCAUGCUUAGCUUGGAGUAGUUUCAGGAUGGGUGACCGACCGGGAAGUUUCUCCCGGGUGCGCAUGAGUGAGGACAAAGCGCGCAGAAAAGACUAAUAUUGAUCUGUGGGGCCAGUCUCGAUCCCGCCAGGAGUAACGGCCACCAGCAUGUGUGUCCGGGGCGUUACACCCAUGGUCUUCGUGCGAGUUCUUUGUGGGGUUAGGUUGCAGUGUGCAUGUUGAAGUGAUGCAUAAUGAAGAGAUCAAGUGCUUGAAGAUUGCCGUCCAUUGUAGUGACAAUGGACUUGUGAAGAUGUGUUGAAGAGUGGCUCACCCAUAGUGGAGUAUGGGGGAGCAAUCUACUAGUAUUCACCGAGCCAACGCAAUCAAGAAAGGUGGUCCAACUUGAGGAAGUCAAGAUCAUCUACUUCUAGCUCAAGUGGACUUUGUGCAAGGAAAAGGUUUGACCUUGAUAGGUUCUCUAUUUUACGGGUCUCAUGGUGGUAGUUCGGAGACCGGGUUAUAGGAUCGAUUGUCGUACUAUCAAGGGGGGCUCUCAAGUGAGUAGCUUAAUCGUAUCGUUCAUAGAGAGCUCAAACCAUUGCAUGCUUGCAUCAUCUUUCUUGGUUCUUGUUUAGUUUUAUCCUUGUGAGAUUUGGAGUUUAUGGUCAUCUUCUUGACAAGCUCGAGUUCAUCGAAAACGGAGUUCACAUGCUUCUUCUAUUGCGUUUUUGGUGUUGGAGGUUUUACCGGUCUUAUUCGAGGAAGGGUUCUCACCAUUUUCUUAUGGGCCUUUUCUAGUUUUCUUCUUAUUGUUAUUUCUAUCAAGAUUGUGUUAGACCUUGUCGCUAGCUUUCCAACAAACUUGGUCCCGUUGAAUUCGUAGUCCGCUUGCAGAAGUUGUGUCAGUUUUGGUGUCGUUAAAAAGGCUGCAGCAGUACUACCGCUCUUGGGAGCGGUACUACCGCUUGGAGAGGUACUACCAUGGCUACUUCUGCUCCGGACCAAAAACUCGUCAUAAGUCCAGUGGUGGUAGGCACAGAUGUAUUUUUUUAGUACCACUCGCAAGCAGUAGUACUGCUACCCUUAGCGGUAGUGCCGCUACCCCUAGCCGUAGUACUGUGAGGACGAGCGGUAGUACCGCUCCGACGGUUCUACCGCCUUUUGCCUCCUCGCUGUUGUUUUUCAAAGGGGAGCCACCGCCCUAGCGGUAGUACCACUCCCAUGAGCGAUAGUACCGCUCUGUGCGGGCUAUGAGCAUAACGGUUAGAUUUUUCCCCACCUAUAAAAGGGGGUCUUAUUCCCCAUUGAACCCUAUCCUUUGAGCUCGUGUUCUUCCCCCAUUGUUGACCUUCUUCGAGCUUGCUAUCUCUCAAUCCCUCCAUGGAUUCUUGCUAAUUUUUUUGGGGGGGGGGGGAGAGAGAGGAGAUCUAGAUCCACAUUUCCACCAAUCACUUUCUCCUCUAUGUGAGGGGAACCCCUGGGAUCUAGAUCUUGGAGUUACUGGUGUUCUCUUUCUUGUUCUUCCUCUCAUUUUCUUCCCUAGCAUUAGUUGCUUUGGUGGGAUUUGAGAGAGAAGGACUUGGGCACUCCGUGUGCCCUUUGCAUUGCAUUUGGUGCAUCGGUUUGAGUUCUCCACGGUGAUAUGUGGAAGUUACAAGUUCAGAAGCUUAUUACUCUUGGGUGCUUGGUACCCUUGAGCUUGUUCCUCUUGGGUGCUUGGGAGCCCUAGACGGUUGGUGGUGUUCGGAGCUCAAUCAUUGUGGUGUAAAGCUCCGGGCAAGCGUCGGGGUCUCCAAUUAGGUUGUGGAGAUCGCCCCGAGCAAUUUGACGGGUACCGGUGACCGCCCCCAAGGGUUGACAAAGUGUACGGGUUCGGUGACCGCCCCCAAGGGUUGCCAUUUGUAUGGGUUCGGUGACCGCCCUCAAGGGUCCCUUAGUGGAAUCACGGCAUCUUGCAUUGUGCGAGGGCGUGAGGAGAUUACGGUGGCCCUAGUGGCUUCUUGGGGAUCACUGUGCCUCCACACUGUUCCAAACGGAGAUUAGCAUCCGCAAGGGUGUGAACUUCGGGAUACAUCAUCGUCUCCGCGUGCCUCGGUUAUCUCAUACCCGAGCCCUUUACUUAUGCACUUUACUUUUGUGAUAGCCAUAUUGUUUCUUGUCAUAUAUCUUGCUAUCACUUAGUUGUUUAUCUUGCUUAGCAUAAGUUGUUGGUGCACAUAGGUGAGCCUAGUUGUUGUAGGUUUUGUGCUUGACAAAUUAACCGCUAGGUUUAUUCCGCAUUUGUUCAAGCCUAAUCCAUAAUUAUUUUAAAGCGCCUAUUCACCCCCCCUUUAGGCGACAUCCUCGAUCUUUCAGAAGGUGUACCCAAUAGUUUCCUUAGGAUAUCCUAUGAAGACGCACUUCUCCGAUUUGGGUUUGAGCUUAUCAGGCUGAAGCCUUUGGACGUAAGCAUCGCUUCCCCAAACUUUAAGAAACGACAGCUUAGGUUUCUUGCCAAGCCAUAGAUCAUACAGUGUCGUCUCAACGGAUUUAGAUGGUGCCCUAUUUAAUGUGAAUGCAGUUGUCUCUAAUUCAUAACCCCAAAAAGAUAGUGGUAAAUCGGCAAGAGACAUCAUAGAACGCACCAUAUCUAAUUAAGUACGCUUACGACGUUCGGAUACACCAUUACGCUGUGGUGUUCCAGGUGGCGUGAGUUGUCAAACAAUUCCACAUUGUUUUAAAUGAAGGCCAAACUCGUAACUCAAAUAUUCACCUCCACGAUCAAAUUGUAGAAAUUUUAUUUUCUUGUUACGAUGAUUCUCUCUUCACUCUAAAAUUCUUUGAACUUUUCAAAUGUUUCAGACUUGUGUUUCAUUAAGUAGAUAUACCCAUACCUAAUCAAAUCAUCUAUAAAGGUUAGAAGAUAACGAUACCCUCCGCGUGCCUCAACACUCAUCGGACCGCAUACAUCGGUAUGUAUUCUUUCCAAUAAGUCUUUAGCUUGCUCCAUUGUUCCGGAUAACAGAGUUCUAGUCAUCUUACCCAUGAGGCAUGGUUCGCAAGUAUCAAAUGGUUCAUAAUCAAGUGAUUCCAAAAGUCCAUCCGCAUGGAGUUUCUUCAUGCACUUUACACCAAUAUGACCUAAACGGCAGUGCCACAAGUAUGUUGCACUAUCAUUAUCAACUUUGCAUCUUUAGGCAUCAAUAUUAUGAAUACAUGUAUCACUAAGACCGAGAUUCAACAAGAAUAGUCCAUUCAUCAAUGGUCCAUGACCAUAAAAGAUAUUACUCAUAUAUAUAGAACAACCAUUAUUCUCUGACUUAAAUGAAUAACCGUCUCGUAAUAAACAAGAUCCAUAAAUAAUCUUCAUGCUCAACGUUGGCACCAAAUAACAAUUAUUGAGGUCUAAAACUAGUCCUGAAGGUAGAUGUAGAGGUAGCGUGCCGACGGCGAUCACAUCGACCUUGGAACCAUCCCCGACGCGCAUUGUCACCUCGUCCUUAACCAAUCUUCGUUUACUCCACAGCUCCCGUUUCGAGUUACAAAUAUGAGAAACUGAACCAGUAUCAAAUACCCAGGCACUGCUAUGAGCAUUAGUAAGGUACACAUCAAUAACAUGUAUAUCAAAUAUACCUUUGUUCACUUUGCCAUCCUUCUUAUCCGCCAAGUAUUUGGGGCAGUUCCGCUUCUAGUGACCAUUUCCUUUGCAGUAGAAGCAUUCAGUUUCAGGCUUGGGUCCAACUUUGGGCUUCUUCACGGGAGCGGCAACUUGCUUGCCAUUAUUUUUGAAGUUCCCUUUCUUUCCCUUGCCCUUUUUCUUGAAACUAGUGGUCUUGUUAACCAUCAACACUUGAUGCUCCUUAUUUAUUUCUACCUCCGCGGCCUUAAACAUUGCAAAGAGCUCGGGAAUCGUUUUUGUCAUCCCUUGCAUAUUAUAGUUCAUCACGAAGCCUUUGUAGCUUGGUGGUAGUGGCUGAAGAAAUCUGUCAAUAACACUCUCAAGUUGAAGAUCAACUCCUAGAUGAGUCAAGUGGUUAUGAUACCCAGACAUUUUGAGUGUGUGUUCACUGACAGAAAUGUUCUCCUUCAUCUUGCAGCUAUAGAACUUGUUGGAGACUUCAUAUCUCUACCCGGGCAUUAGCUUGAAAUAUCAACUUCAGCUCUUGGAACAUCUCAUAUGUUCCAUGACGUUCAAAAUGUAUUUGAAGUUCCGGUUCUAAGCCAUAAAGCAUGGCACACUGAACUAUUGAGUAGUCAUUAGAUCGGGUCUGCCAGACAUUCAUAACAUCUGCAGUAGCUCCUGUAGUAGGUCUGUCACCUAGCGGUGCAUCAAGGACAUAAUCCUUUCAUGCAACAAUGAGGAUAAUCCUUAAGUUACGAGCCCAGUCCGUGUAGUUGAUACCAUCAUCUUUCAACUUAGCUUUCUCUAGAAACACAUUAAAAUUCAGGGGAACGGUAGCACGGGCCAUUGAUCUACAACAUAGAUAUGCAAAAACUAUUAAGACUAAGUUCAUGAUAAAUUAAGUUCAAUUAAUCAAAUUACUAAUGAACUCCCACUUAAAUUAACAUCCCUCAGGUUAUCUAAGUGAUACAUGAUCCAAAUCAACUAACCCAUGUCCGAUCAUCACGUGAGAUGGGGUAGUCAUCAAUGGUGAACAUCUCUAUGUUCAUAUCUACUAUAUGAUUCACGUUUGACCUUUUGGUCUCUAGUGUUCCGAGACCAUGUAUGUACAUGAUAGGCUCAUCAAGUUUAACCCAAGUAUUCUGCAUGUGGAAAACUGUCUUACACCCGUUGUAUGUGAACGUAGAGUCUAUCACACCCGAUCAUCACGAGGUGUUUUGAAACGAUGAAAUUUGGCAAUGGUGCAUACUCAAGGAGAACAAUUUUAUCUUGAAAUUUAGUGAAGGGAUCAUCGUAUAAUGCUACCGCCCUUCUAAGCAAAAUAAGAUGCAUAAAGGAUAAACAUCACAUGCAAUCAAAAUAUGUGACAUGAUAUGGCCAUCAUCAUCUUGUGCUUUUGAUCUCCAUCUCGAAAGCAUCGUCAUGAUCUCCAUCUUCACCGGCUCGACACCUUUAUCUCCAUUGUUGCGUCGGGGUUGUCUUGCCAACUAUUGCUUCUACAACUAUUGCUAACACAUAGCGAUAAAGUAAAGCAAUUACAUGGCGCUUGCAUUUCAUACAAUAAUUAAGAGAUAACCGUAAGGCUCCUUCCGAUUGUCGAUAUUAAAAAAGAUGAUCAUCUCAUACAACAAUGUAUAUCACAUCAUAUCUUUACCAUAUCACAUCACAACAUGCACUGCAGAAACAAGUUAGACGUCCUCUACUUUGUUGUUGCAAAUUUUACGUGGCUGCUACGGGCUUCUAGUAAGAACCAUUCUUAACUACGCAAAAACCACAAAGGUGAUUAUCAAGUUUGUUGUUUUAACCUUCUUCAAGGACUGGCCAUAGUCAAAUUCGAUUCAACUAAAGUAGGAGAAACAGACACCCGCCAGCCACCUUUAUGCAAAACAAGUUGCAUGUCAGUCUGUGGAACUAGUCUCAUGUGCGUGGACAUGUAAGGUUGGCCCAGGCCGCUUCAUCCCCCAAUUCCGCUAAAUCAAAAUAAUACGUUGGUGGUAAGCAGUAUGACCAUCACCGCCCACAACUCCAUUGUGUUCUACUCAUGCAUAUCAUCUACGCAUAGACCUGGCUCGGAUGCCAUUGUUGGAAAACGUUGCAUGGAAAACAAAAAAAAUUCUACGCACACGCAAGAUCUAUCCAUGGAGAUUCAUAGCAACGAGAGGGGACACCAUGUCUAUGUACCCUCGUAGACCAUUUAGCAGAAGCGUUUAUCAACGCGGUUGAUGUAGUCGAACACCUUUGUGAUCCAACCGAUCAAGUACCGAACGCACGACACCUCCGUGUUCAGCACACGUUCAGUUCGAUGACGUCCAUGCCUUCUUGAUACAACAAGACGGGUGAAGUAGUAGAUGAGUUCUGGCAGCACGAUGGUGUGGUGAAGGUGGUGAUGCAACUAUCUCCGCAAGGCUACGUCGAGCACUACGAAAAUAUGACCGAAGACGAACUAGAGGGAGAGGGGUGCCGCACACGGCUUGGGGAUCGUGGUGUGUGUUGCCCCUCUCUCUCCUCACAUAUAUAUAGGUGGGGGGAGGAGGGGAGGUAGCCUAGGACUCCCCCAAGGGGCUGGCUGUCACAUCCUAGUUAGCCAUGCAUUAGAGUGUUGCAUCAUGUUUCCUCUUUCAUCAGAAACUUGAAAUGGGGAUCUGUGAAACCCUCAGAAUCAUUUUUGAAAAUGAUCCAAAUAAAAAUUUCUCCAAAAGGUCCAAGAAAAUGCUCAUGUUGCUCUCUGAAAAUAUUGGACAGAGAUAAAAAUCAAACCAAUAUUUUCAAGAGCUCAUAGGUAUUUAUUUUGGGCAUUUGGAAUUAAUGCAUAAUUAUUUGCUUUGGAAAUAUAUUAUUUAUAUAUAUUAAUAUAUGUCCAAAUAUUAUGCCAAUUAUAAAGGAGCUCUGGAAUAAUAUAUCUAGCUCCUGCAAAAAUUGGCAUAAGGAAAAAAAAUGAUUUAAUAUUUUAUUUAAAUCAAAACAAAUGUCAGAAAUUAGAAAACAGAAAAUAAUUAAAAGGGAGAAGCUUACCUGGGCUCCUCCCUGUGCAGCCCAGCCAGCUGGCCGGCCCAGCCAGCAGGCGGCCCAGCCCACCACUGCAGCCCUCCGUCGUCUUCCUCCCCUCGCCCCGAAGCUGCUGCGUGCUCGCACGCGCAUGGCCGCGCGGCCACCUCCUGCUUGCCGACGAGCUCCUGGCCGCGUGGACGACUCCCGCAGGCCGUCCCGAUCCCCCCCUGCUCUCUCUCACUCUCCCCCGGCUCUUCCCUCCUCUCCCUCGCGCUCUCUCUCACACGGCCGAACACCACCGUCGCCGCCGUUCGCCAUAGCAGUCGUCUCCGGCCACCCCUUGCUCCCCCGACUAGCUUAGGAGCUCCGCCUCGACCCCCUCUUCCCUCUCCACCGACCCACAGCUCCCCGGAAGCCCUGCAUCGCCGCCACGUCGCCGUUCCCCUCUUCGGGCUCCGACCAUCGUCACCGUCGAAUUCGUCGUCUCCAGCGCGUCCCCGAGCCCGCUAACCAUCCCUGCAGCUCCGCGGUGAGCCCCCGGAUCAUUUUCCCCUUCUCCCCUGGUCUUUUUCGACCUCUAGGCCCUAGCCCCACCUUGGCCGAGAGCUCCACGCCGCCGGCGAUGUCGCCGUCGUGGCCACAGUCACCGUAGCACCCAACCGAGCACACUAUCGUGCUCCACACCUCACCAGGAUCACGCAGCACGCACUAACGCCUCCCCAAACCCCCUGCAACACCGAUCCCGACCGCACCCGAACUCCGGCGGCCGCAGCCGAGCUCGCCGCCGUCGACUCCGGCCACCCCAGGCCCAGCCACAGCCACCGUUCGACGCGCGGGAGCAAGAGCUUUCCAACGAGCCCAAGCACGGCCUCGCCCGUGCCCUGUAGCGCGAUCCCGCGUCGCGCCGCCGUCUCGGGCCUCGCCGGCGUCACGUCGCCGGUGGGUUUGACCCACUUUGACCACGACAGGACACCCCCUGAGUCCCUGACAGGUGGGCCCAGCCCUGUAGCUAAUUAGGAUUAGUGCUAACCACUAAUGGUUAACCCCCUGACACUGACAGUGGGCCCCCAGCGCCACUAAACCCCUAAUUAGGAUUAAACUAACCCUGUUUAACCCCCCUGUCACUGACGUGUGGACCCCACACGUCAGGUUUGACCCCAGACAGCCGCAGUUGACCACUGACGUCAUGCUGACGUCAUGCUGGCGCAAUAAUUAUAAUUUCUGGAUUUAAAUUUAAUCAGGAAAUUCCAGAAUAUUAUUUAAACUUCAAAAAUUCAUAACUUUUAUUCUGUAACUCCAAAUUGGACAAAUUAUAUAUGAAAAAUGAUCAGAAAAAUCCAAUCUAUCCAUCUGUACUAUUUUCAUGCAUGAUCAAACAAGUUAAAUUGAUGUUUUAAGCAGAACAAGGAAAAGCACUUUAAAAGGCCAUGUUUGAGUUUGAAAUUUGAAUCUUUGAUUCAAAUUUGUUCAAACCCUUCUGGUUUUAGUUGCAUUAGCCCAACACACUCAUAUUGCCAUGUUUCAUGCAUGCAUCAUAUUGUUGCACAUUGUUUGGUGAUGCUUGUGUAUCGAUGUCCUUUGCGACAGGUUCUGCCCCCGAGGAGUACCGUGAUUACCCUAACGAAGAACCGUAUCAGUGCAUCGAACCAUCAGGCAAGCAACCAAUCAAUUGAUCAUAUCGAUACAAUCCCAUGUUCUCGCUCCUGCUCUCUUUUACUGCAUUAAGACAACGCGUUUCAAACUGCUGUGUGCUACGGUAGUUGAACCCAUUUCCUCUGCAUGACCUGUCAUUGCCACAGUAACUAGAUGAAACCCACUAGCAUGUGUAGGAGUUGAUUGAGCCAUAUGUAUGUGUUGUUCCUACCUUGCUAUGCCUGCUAUGCUUAGAGUCGUGUCAGGUCUGGUUCAUCGGGGUGAUGGGCUAGAGUGAAAUAAUUAUGCCGGUAAUGAGAGUGGUGUGAUGAACACGAUUUGGUAAAGGUAUCGAUGAGAGGCCAUGUAGGAGUACAUGGUGGGUUGUUUCAUUGAAGCCGACCUUAAGCACUGAGAUCUGUAUGUGUGAUUUAAGAAUCAGCUACUACCAUGCAUUGGGCCCGAAACCAAUGGACCCUCUCGGCUUCUUAUUCACCCUAGUUCUCCGUCCAGGAGUUGCAAGUAGUUUCUGGUGUUUGUAGCCUACUGGAGGCCGUGGACAGCGCUGACCGUAGGGGUGGGCUGUGAUGCGGUAGGUACGUGGCCGGGUGUACCGAAUACUCGUUAGGUAUCUUGGGAACCCUGUUCACAUCGUUCGGGGCCGUAUGGGAAACCUCGGCCGGACUCCCUGCGGAUGGAACCUGAAUAGGCGAUAAACCUGGACUGGAGGCUUAGGUGAUUAGGUAGGUCGUGGCCGACACCCACGUUGGGCUUCCGCUCGAAGGUUGCCGAGUACAUGUCGUGUAAACGACGGUAAGUGGUGAGAGCGUGUAUGAAGAUGUACACCCCUGCAGGGUUAACAUGAUCUAUUCGAAUAGCCGCGUCCGCGGUAAAGGACUACUUGGUUGCCUAUACAGUUCAUAGACAAGUAAAUGGAAACUACUAAAAGCCUCAAGAUAAGUGUGAGUGCCGAGGAUGGCUCUUCCGUAGGAAGACGGAGGUGGAUCCUCGGUAUGGUAUUGAAGUGGUGAGUAGUGGACUCGUGUGCGCAAAACCUUUUCAAAUUGAAGUAUCGUAGGAUAGCCUAGCCAAGAGUCAAAGCUGGCUUGCUGCAAUAACUCCACCAACCCUUCUUGAUACUAUGCAUGUAUGUAGGAUCUGAUGUAAGUCUUGCUGAGUACCUUUGUACUCAUGUUGCUGUAAUCUACAUUUUUACAGAAGACGCUGCAACCCCUUCUGAUGGGUUCUAUGUAGACGUUGACAUCAACGAGUAGGCUAAAGACCCAGGUGGUGACCCUGAGCUUGUGAUGGACCACGUAGUAUAGCUAGGCUUUCCAAGCCUCUUUUAUUUUACUAGUUGUCUGUACUCAGACAAUGUACUUCCGCUGCUGGUUUGUAUGACUAUAUGACUUGUAUGUUGGGUCGUGAGACCCGUAUCUUUGUGUAUGCUAUGUAUGGCUCCCUGAGCCUUAAAUAAAGUACUUGUGUCAUAGAGUCAUGUUGUGAUGCUUCAUUGUAUUUGCACAUAUCGAGCAUAUUGUGUGUAUGAUUGAAAUGCUUGGUAUGUGUGGGAUCUGACUAUCUAGUUGUUUAUCUUUAGUAGCCUCUCUUACCGGGAAAUGUCUCCUAGUGUUACCGCCGAGCCAUGGUAGCUUGCUACUGCUCUGGAACACUUAGGCUGGCCGGCAUGUGUCCUUCUUCGUUCCUGUGUCUGUCCCUUCGGGGAAAUGUCACGCUUUGAGUACCGGAGUCCUGUUAGCCCGCUACAGCCCGGUUUACCGGAGUCCUGCUAGCCCAGUGCUACAGCCCGGACCCAUUUGCUGAUGACCGACACGUUCGGAGCUAGGUCAUGGAUGUCUAUCCCUGUAAGUCUGUGCCACUUUGGGUUUACGACUAGUCAUGUCAGCCCGGGCUCCUUAUCAUAUGGAUGCUAGCGACACUAUCAUAUACGUGAGCCAAAAGGCGCAAACGGUCCCGGGCAAAGGUAAGGCGACACCCGUGGGAAUACCGUGCGUGAGGCCGCAAAGUGAUAUGAGGUGUUACCGGCUAGAUCGAUGUGACAUCGAGUCGGGGUCCUGACAGCGUUGGUAUCAGAGCCGGACUGCCUGUAGGUUCUCCAAGCCAAACUGGUCGAUGUUGAGUCUAGAAAUUCUUUAGUUAUAUGUAGGGGAAUUGUUUGUGGGUUGGAACGUAAGGCUCUUUUUACUCCUUUAUCUUAUAACAUUCUGAUCUGAGUCAGUCCAUUCUUCCACCGGGGGUUAAGGAAUUAGGAUCUGUUCUCUCUAUCAGGAUCACGAGUUACUAAUCAGUAGUACCUUAUAAGUUGAUGGAUUCAAGCCUAGUUUAGUUUUACUACCACAUGAUGUUGUUAGAAUGGUUUCAGAACUUUGAUAUGAUGAUGUUGAGUGUGUACAAAAUCCUUUGUCAAAUGUCUCAAAAUCCUUUUUGAGCAUUUACAGCUGUUAUGCUGCCGAAAUUUUGCUAGAAAUUCUAAUGCCUUUGCAUUAUGAUUGUGCUUUCAGAUGGCCACUCGCGACCUCAAUCAAGUGGUUAGCCUGACUCGAUGCCUAGAUGUACCCGGCCAUACUGCCAAGUUGGUCAGGGUAAUGACUGAGGCUGGAUACCGUUGGUAUCCUGAGUACACGGUCGAAGAGCAAUUCCGAGACUUUAACCAAAGCCAGUAUCUCUGCACUGUCAGGAUAUUUCCAUCUUAUCCUGGAUCCACCGAGCCUCUUCACUGCUCCUAUUGACUCGGGGUUACUAUUGAGAUGGCUGUGCAGGACGCCGCCUACUCUAUGAUGACCAUUAUGCGAGUCAGAUCUGGUCUAUUUCGGGACUCUGAUUUCCGGUAUAUGCCAGGAUCACUUCCGGGAGCACAAGGGUAUCUCCAGGCUAUUUAUGCUGACCCCACUCAGGAGGAUUCACGGACUCGCACCACUGCUGAGAUGCUCGAGGAUAAGGACCGUGAAAAUCGGGCCUUGAGGUUAGAGCUCUUCAAUACCCGUGCUGACCACUGGGCCACAUUGACUCGGUUCGCACCGGCGGUGCAAGCUGGAUAUUCAGAUAUGCGCGAUCUCUAUCCUGUGAGAUCUGCUCUGCCAGACGUGAUGGGUUGGCGUGAUGUAGGAGGCAUCACCCCACCUCGCGGUCCCCGCAGGCCACCGUCUGUUGGUCCAAGGCCUCAUCCUAGCCCCUAUGGUCCACAAGCUCCGCGAGAUCGUCUGUUUCCGGAUGAUCAUGUUGAGCUUCCAGGCUAUGGAGGUGACUUCUACGAGGACUACUACGGAUCGGUCUGAGUUAGCGGUAGUAUCACUAGUUCGCACUAGCUGUGUCUUCUAUCGUUCCGCGUGACUCGUGGGAUAUGAACUAGUUUGUACUCUUCCGGAGGUGUAGAAAAAUAAUGUAUAGGAGCUUGGGAUGCCUCCGAUGAGAUGUAAUCCUCUUUUCACCGUAUUAGUACUUUGUUUGGUCUUGUACUAAACCCUGUAUGGUGUGUAUGACGAUGGAAUAAAAGAAGCAGUUUCUGUAUCUACCAUGUCAUACGGAUGAUCAUCUUGCAUUCCGAAUUAUUCCUUACAUUAGGUAUCCUAUGUCGGAAUUUUAUCAUCCUGACUAAAUCAUUGUCUUGUUUACCUAGGAUGGUCAACAUGCGCACUAACCCUGCUCCUCAAGAGCAGGCCGAAGGCAGUGAAGUCAGGGAUGCAAAUCUGCCUCAUCCUCCUUCACUAGCCGAGGUUAUGAUGGAAGCUGAGAGAAACAAGCGGGAGACCAACCGUUUGUUGGAGCGUAUUGAACAGAACACAGCACACCAUCAGAGGACUAACGUGGUGUCACUCAGUGAUUUUAUCAAAUUACAUCCACCCACGUUCCACCACUCCGUCGAGCCUCUCGACGCUGAUGACUGGCUUCGCAGUAUCGCUCACAAGCUGCGUUCCGCGCUGGUAGCGGAGGCUGACAAGGUCACCUUUGCUGCAUAUCAUCUUGAAGGCCCCGCCAGUCUAUGGUGGGAGAAUUAUGGAGCUAUGCGCCCAGCAGGCCAUGUCACUACUUGGGCUGAAUUCAGCGAGGCUUUCCGUGAACAUCACAUUCCGGAGGGUCUCAUGGACCGUAAACGUGAGGAAUUCUGCAAUUUCACCCAAGGCCGACUUUCUGUGGAUGUUUAUAGCAGGGAGUUUGGUAAUCUCGCACGAUAUGCAACCGAGGAAGUUUCUACUGACGCCAAGAAGCAAGCAAGGUUCCGUAAGGGACUUAGUCCUGAGCUUCGCCGCGACCUCCGUCUGCAUGAGUGCACAUCUUUUCAGAAACUUGUCAAUAAAGCCAUCAGUGCUGAAACUGGUCAGACUGACUAUGACGCAACACGCAAGCAUGGCUGUGAUAUGGGUUCCUCAUCCGGUGCUGGUCCUCAGAAGCGCCGCGUGUGGGUGCCCAACACCGCCCUGCCACCCAGGUUCACACCGAGGCCAUCUUUCCAGGUGCCUCGCCCUGUUCAACAGUCUGCACCGGCCAAGCCCUAUGGGGGUCCAACUAACAAUGCUCCUCCACGUACCAGUUCCGUGACUUGUUUCAAGUGUGGGGAAUCUGGUCACUAUAUGCGUGAGUGUCCUCAGACCAACCCCAACCAAUCUGCUAAAGCUGUUGGCCGUGGCAAGUCGACAGGGAAAAUAUUCCACGCCAAACCGGUCACCGCUUCACGUGGCCAUGUCAACUGUAUCUCUGCCGAAGAAGCUCAAGAGGAUCCCAACGUCGUUCUCGGUACGCUUCUUGUAAAUUGCCACCCGGCAUCUGUUCUUUUCGAUACAGGAGCCUCUCAUUCUUUUAUAUCCGAAAAUUAUGCUCGUUUGCAUAACGUUGCAUUCUGUGACAUGCCAUCCACUAUGGAAAUUUCUACCCCUGGUUCUAGAUGGCAGACCUCUAGGGUAAGUUAUGGAAAUGAAAUCCAAGUCGACAGACUUGUUUUUCUCGCGUCUUUGAUAGCCCUUAAAUCUUCAGAUAUUAAUAUCAUUUUGGGUAUGGACUGGAUGUCAGCUCAUCAAGCCAAAAUUGAUUGCUUCUCUAGGACUGUUCAACUCACCCAUCCUUCGGGGAAGAUAGUCAAUGUCUUGACCCAAAUAGCCAAGCGACAAUUAUAUUCUCUUAACGCCAGCCCUUUGCCAGACCUUGAGGACAUUCCGGUAGUCCGUGACUUCCCGGAUGUCUUUCCAGAGGAAUUGCCAGGUGUUCCACCUGACAGGGAUGUUGAGUUCGUAAUCGACCUCAUCCCCGGAACCGUUCCGAUUGCUAGAAGACCUUAUAAGAUGGCACCACUAGAACUAGCCGAGCUUAAGAAACAACUCGAUGAAUCCUUGAAAAAGGGUUUCAUCCGCCCUAGUUCAUCUCCGUGGGCUUGCCCCGUCCUAUUCGUCAAGAAGAAGGAUGGUACGGACCGGAUGGUUGUAGAUUACUGACCUGUCAAUUUGGUCACAAUCAAGAACAAAUAUCCACUUCCCAGGAUCAACGAUCUGUAUGAUCAGCUCGCUGGAUCCUCAGUCUUCUCCAAGAUGGAUUUGAGGUUGGGCUACCAUCAAAUCAAAAUCAGAAACGGGGACAUUCCUAAAACGGCCUUUGUUACUCGUUAUGGCCAAUACGAGUACACCGUCAUGUCCUUCGGUUUAACCAACGCUCCAGCCACCUUUUCUCGGUUAAUGAACUCAAUCUUCAUGGAGUAUUUGGAUAAAUUCGUCGUGGUUUACCUCGAUGAUAUACUCAUCUACUCCAAGAACGAGGAAGAACAUGCCGAACAUUUGAGGCUAGUGUUGAAGAAACUUCGAGAGCAUCGCCUUUAUGCCAAAUUUUCUAAAUGUGAAUUCUGGUUGUCAGAAGUGACCUAUCUGGGUCAUGUAAUAUCUGGUAAAGGUAUUGCUGUUAACCCUGAGCGAGUUCAAGCCGUCCUUAAUUGGACUCCACCCGAAUCGGUCAAGCAAGUUCGGAGUUUUCUAGGCUUAGCGAGCUAUUGUCGUCGCUUUGUCGAGAACUUCUCCAAAGUUGCUAAGCCUCUAACCGAACUCCUCAAGAAAGAUAAAAAGUUCGAAUGGACUCCACAAUGUGAGCACAGCUUUCAGGAACUGAAAAGAUGCCUGACCUCUGCUCCCGUACUAGUACCGCCAGACUUCUCCAAGGACUUUGUUAUCUACUGCGACGCCUCGUGACAAGGACUGGGUUGCAUUCUCAUGCAAGAUCGACACGUAAUCGCCUACGCUUCACGGCAAUUGCACCCACAUGAGGAGAAUUAUCCUACUCAUGAUCUAGAGCUUGCAGCCGUAGUCUAUGCACUUAAGACCUGGCGUCAUUACCUCCUCGGUAAUCGUUGCGAAAUAUUCACUGAUCACCAAAGUCUGAAGUACAUUUUCACCCAACCGGAUCUGAAUCUCAGACAAAGACGUUGGGUUGAAUUGAUCACAGACUUCGACUUAGGAAUAACCUAUACCCCAGGGAAAGCCAACGUCAGGGCUGAUGCGCUAAGUCGUAAAUCUUAUUGUAACAACCUGAUGUUACAACAAAGUCAACCGCUUCUCCAUGAGGAAUUUCGGAAGCUUAACCUUCACAUUGUACCUCAAGGUUUUCUUUCCACCUUGGUGGCAAAACCUACCCUUACGGAUCAAAUUAUCAAAGCACAGAAGGUAGAUCCGGGAAUCUCCCGCAUCAAGAGGAACAUUCAGAAAGGAAUUGCGAAUUGUUUCUCCAUUAAUGAUCAAGGAGUCGUAUACUUCGGGAAUCGACUAGUGGUUCCCAAAGUGCGCAACCUAAGGCGAUUAAUCCUUAAGGAAGCUCAUGAAUCUCCUCUCACCAUUCAUCCCGGUAGUACUAAGAUGCAUCAGGACCUACGCCAGAGGUUCUGGUGGACUAGGAUGAAGAGAGAAAUUGCUCAGUUUAUUGCUAAUUGCGACGUCUGUCGUCGUGUAAAAGCAGAGCACCAACGGCCUGCUGGCACCCUUCAACCCUUAGCUAUUCCUGAAUGGAAAUGGGAUAAAAUUGGUAUGGAUUUCAUUACCGGUUUUCCCAGGACCAAGAGAGGGAAUAAUGCUAUUUUCGUCGUGGUCGAUCGUCUUUCCAAAGUAGCCCAUUUCUUACCUGUUCGUGAGAGUAUAACCGCUAGUCAGCUGGCAGAUUUGUACAUCUCCCGAAUAGUGUCUCUCCAUGGUGUUCCUUUGGAAAUUAACUCGGAUCGAGGAAGUCUUUUCACCUCUGAAUUUUGGGAAAGUUUCCAAAAUGCUAUGGGAACUCGUCUCUCCUUUAGCACCGCUUUCCACCCUCAGUCGAGUGGUCAAGUGGAACGCGUCAACCAAAUUCUAGAAGACAUGCUUCGAGCCUCUGUUAUCUCAUUCGGAAUGGAUUGGGAGAAGUGCCUUCCAUUUGCCGAAUUCGCUUACAACAACAGCUAUCAAUCUAGCUUGGGUAAAGCCCCUUUUGAAGUUCUCUAUGGACGACGGUGUCGAACACCCCUUAACUGGUCAGAGACCGGGGAAAGACAAUUCUUUGGCCCGGACAUGAUUCAGGAAGCAGAAGAACAAGUUCGCAUCGUUCGUGAAAAGUUGAAAACAGCCCAAUCUCGUCAAAAGAGUCAAUAUGACCGAAAACAUAAGGCUAUUACUUUCGAGGUUGACGAGAAGGCUUAUCUUCGGGUCACCCCUCUGAAGGGAACCCAUCGUUUCGGUAUCAAAGGCAAAUUGGCUCCUCGUUACAUUGGACCUUUUCGCAUUCUCGCCAAACGAGGAGAAGUUGCCUACCAGUUGGAACUACCUCCGCAUCUCUCCAGAGUCCACGAUGUCUUCCACGUUUCUCAACUCAGGCGUUGCUUCUCGGGUCCUAUCCGUGAAGUGGACCACGAAACGCUUGAUCUCCAAGAUAAUCUUACAUAUCGAGAGUACCCUAUUCGUAUCCUCGAUCAGGCCGAACGUACCACCCGACGUCAUAAUAUCAAGUUUCUCAAAGUUCAAUGGUCGCACCAUUCUGAGGAUGAAGCAACCUGGGAAAGGGAGGAUCGUCUUCGACUCGAGUAUCCCGCCUUCUUCCCGGAGGAACCCAAAUCUCGGGACGAGAUUCUUUUGAGUGGGGGUGAGUUGUCACAUCCUAGUUAGCCAUGCAUUAGAGUGUUGCAUCAUGUUUCCUCUUUCAUCAGAAACUUGAAAUGGGGAUCUGUGAAACCCUCAGAAUCAUUUUUGAAAAUGAUCCAAAUAAAAAUUUCUCCAAAAGGUCCAAGAAAAUGCUCAUGUUGCUCUCUGAAAAUAUUGGACAGAGAUAAAAAUCAAACCAAUAUUUUCAAGAGCUCAUAGGUAUUUAUUUUGGGCAUUUGGAAUUAAUGCAUAAUUAUUUGCUUUGGAAAUAUAUUAUUUAUAUAUAUUAAUAUAUGUCCAAAUAUUAUGCCAAUUAUAAAGGAGCUCUGGAAUAAUAUAUCUAGCUCCUGCAAAAAUUGGCAUAAGGAAAAAAAAUGAUUUAAUAUUUUAUUUAAAUCAAAACAAAUGUCAGAAAUUAGAAAACAGAAAAUAAUUAAAAGGGAGAAGCUUACCUGGGCUCCUCCCUGUGCAGCCCAGCCAGUUGGCCGGCCCAGCCAGCAGGCGGCCCAGCCCACCACUGCAGCCCUCCGUCGUCUUCCUCCCCUCGCCCUGAAGCUGCUGCGUGCUCGCACGCGCACGGCCGCGCGGCCACCUCCUGCUUGCCGACGAGCUCCUGGCCGCGUGGACGACUCCCGCAGGCCGUCCCGAUCCCCCCUGCUCUCUCUCACUCUCCCCCGGCUCUUCCCUCCUCUCCCUCGCUCUCUCUCUCACACGGCCGAACACCACCGUCGCCGCCGUUCGCCAUAGCAGUCGUCUCCGGCCACCCCUUGCUCCCCCGACUAGCUUAGGAGCUCCGCCUCGACCCCCUCUUCCCUCUCCACCGACCCACAGCUCCCCGGAAGCCCUGCAUCGCCGCCACGUCGCCGUUCCCCUCUUCGGGCUCCGACCAUCAUCGCCAUCGAAUUCGUCGUCUCCAGCGCGUCCCCGAGCCCGCUAACCAUCCCUGCAGCUCCGCGGUGAGCCCCCGGAUCGUUUUCCCCUUCUCCCCUGGUCUUUUUCGACCUCUAGGCCCUAGUCCCACCUUGGCCGAGAGCUCCACGCCGCCGGCGAUGUCGCCGUCGUGGCCACGGUCACCGUAGCACCCAACCGAGCACACUAUCGUGCUCCACACCUCACCAGGAUCACGCAGCACGCACUAACGCCUCCCCAAACCCCCUGCAACACCGAUCCCGACCGCACCCGAACUCCGGCGGCCGCAGCCGAGCUCGCCGCCGUCGACUCCGGCCACCCCAGGCCCAGCCACAGCCACCGUUCGACGCGCGGGAGCAAGAGCUUUCCAACGAGCCCAAGCACGGCCUCGCCCGUGCCCUGUAGCGCGAUCCCGCGUCGCGCCGCCGUCUCGGGCCUCGCCGGCGUCACGUCGCCGGUGGGUUUGACCCACUUUGACCACGGCAGGACACCCCCCUGAGUCCCUGACAGGUGGGCCCAGCCCUGUAGCUAAUUAGGAUUAGUGCUAACCACUAAUGGUUAACCCCCUGACACUGACAGUGGGCCCCCAGCGCCACUAAACCCCUAAUUAGGAUUAAACUAACCCUGUUUAACCCCCCUGUCACUGACGUGUGGACCCCACACGUCAGGUUUGACCCCAGACAGCCGCAGUUGACCACUGACGUCAUGCUGACGUCAUGCUGGCGCAAUAAUUAUAAUUUCUGGAUUUAAAUUUAAUCAGGAAAUUCCAGAAUAUUAUUUAAACUUCAAAAAUUCAUAACUUUUAUUCUGUAACUCCAAAUUGGACAAAUUAUAUAUGAAAAAUGAUCAGAAAAAUCCAAUCUAUCCAUCUGUACUAUUUUCAUGCAUGAUCAAACAAGUUAAAUUGAUGUUUUAAGCAGAACAAGGAAAAGCACUUUAAAAGGCCAUGUUUGAGUUUGAAAUUUGAAUCUUUGAUUCAAAUUUGUUCAAACCCUUCUGGUUUUAGUUGCAUUAGCCCAACACACUCAUAUUGCCAUGUUUCAUGCAUGCAUCAUAUUGUUGCACAUUGUUUGGUGAUGCUUGUGUAUCGAUGUCCUUUGCGACAGGUUCUGCCCCCAAGGAGUACCGUGAUUACCCUAACGAAGAACCGUAUCAGUGCAUCGAACCAUCAGGCAAGCAACCAAUCAAUUGAUCAUAUCGAUACAAUCCCAUGUUCUCGCUCCUGCUCUCUUUUAAUGCAUUAAGACAACGCGUUUCAAACUGCUGUGUGCUACGGUAGUUGAACCCAUUUCCUCUGCAUGACCUGUCAUUGCCACAGUAACUAGAUGAAACCCACUAGCAUGUGUAGGAGUUGAUUGAGCCAUAUGUAUGUGUUGUUCCUACCUUGCUAUGCCUGCUAUGCUUAGAGUCGUGUCAGGUCUGGUUCAUCGGGGUGAUGGGCUAGAGUGAAAUGAUUAUGCCGGUAAUGAGAGUGGUGUGAUGAACACGAUUUGGUAAAGGUAUCGAUGAGAGGCCAUGUAGGAGUACAUGGUGGGUUGUUUCAUUGAAGCCGACCUUAAGCACUGAGAUCUGUAUGUGUGAUUUAAGAAUCAGCUACUACCAUGCAUUGGGCCCGAAACCAAUGGACCCUCUCGGCUUCUUAUUCACCCUAGUUCUCCGUCCAGGAGUUGCAAGUAGUUUCUGGUGUUUGUAGCUACUGGAGGCCGUGGACAGCGCUGACCGUAGGGGUGGGCUGUGAUGCGGUAGGUACGUGGCCGGGUGUACCGAAUACCCGUUAGGUAUCUCGGGAACCCUGUUCACAUCGUUCGGGGCCGUAUGGGAAACCUCGGCCGGACUCCCUGCGGAUGGAACCUGAAUAGGCGAUAAACCUGGACUGGAGGCUUAGGUGAUUAGGUAGGUUGUGGCCGACACCCACGUUGGGCUUCCGCUUGAAGGUUGCCGAGUACAUGUCGUGUAAACGACGGUAAGUGGUGAGAGCGUGUAUGAAGAAGUACACCCCUGCAGGGUUAACAUGAUCUAUUCGAAUAGCCGCGUCCGCGGUAAAGGACUACUUGGUUGCCUAUACAGUUCAUAGACAAGUAAAUGGAAACUACUAAAAGCCUCAAGAUAAGUGUGAGUGCCGAGGAUGGCUCUUCCGUAGGAAGACGGAGGUGGAUCCUCGGUAGGGUAUUGAAGUGGUGAGUAGUGGACUCGUGUGCGCAAAACAUUUCAAGUUGGGGUAUCGUAGGAUAGCCUAGCCAAGAGUCAAAGCUGGCUUGCUGCAAUAACUCCACCAACCCUUCUUGAUACUAUGCAUGUAUGUAGGGUCUGAUGUAAGUCUUGCUGAGUACCUUUGUACUCAUGUUGCUAUAAUCUACAUUUUUACAGAAGACGCUGCAACCCCUUCUGAUGGGUUCUAUGUAGACGUUGACAUCAACGAGUAGGCUAAAGACCCAGGUGGUGACCCUGAGCUUGUGAUGGACCACGUAGUAUAGUUAGGCUUCCAAGCCUCUUUUAUUUUACUAGUUGUCUGUACCCAGACAAAGUACUUCCGUUGUUGGCUUGUAUGACUGUAUGACUUGUAUGUUGGGUCGUGAGAUCCGUACCUUUGUGUAUGAUAUGUAUGGCUCCCUGAGCCUUAAAUAAAGUACUUGUGUCAUAGAGUCAUGUUGUGAUGCUUCGUUGUAUUGCACAUAUCAAGCAUAUUGUGUGUAUGAUUGAAAUGCUUGGUAUGUGUGGGAUCUGACUAUCUAGUUGUUUAUCUUUAGUAGCCUCUCUUACCGGGAAAUGUCUCCUAGUGUUACCGCUGAGCCAUGGUAGCUUGCUACUGCUCUGGAACACUUAGGCUGGCCGGCAUGUGUCCUUCUUCGUUCCUGUGUCUGUCCCUUCGGGGAAAUGUCACGCUUUGAGUACCGGAGUCCUGUUAGCCCGCUACAGCCCGGUUUACCGGAGUCCUGCUAGCCCAGUGCUACAGCCCGGACCCACUUGCUGAUGACCGACACGUUCGAAGCUGGGUCAUGGAUGCCUGUCCCUGUAAGUCUGUGCCACUUUGGGUUUACAACUAGUCAUGUCAGCCUGGGCUCUUUAUCAUAUGGAUGCUAGCGACACUAUCAUAUACGUGAGCCAAAAGGCGCAAACGGUCCCGGGCAAAGGUAAGGCGACACCCGUGGGAAUACCGUGCGUGAGGCCGCAAAGUGAUAUGAAGUGUUACCGGCUAGAUCGAUGUGACAUCGAGUCGGGGUCCUGACAGCGUUGAAUUAAAUCAGGAAAUUCCAGAAUAUUAAUUAAACUUCAAAAAUUCAUAACUUUUAUUCUGUAACUCCAAAUUGGACAAAUUAUAUAUGAAAAAUGAUCAGAAAAAUCCAAUCUAUCCAUCUGUACCAUUUCCAUGCAUGAUCAAACAAGUUAAGUUGAUGUUUUAAUCAGAACAAGAAAAGGCACUUUAAAAGGCCAUAUUUGAAUUUGAAAUUUGAAUCCUUGAUUCAAAUUUGUUCAAACCCUUCUGGUUUUAGUUGCAUUAGCCCAACACACUCAUAUUGCCAUGUUUCAUGCAUGCAUCAUAUUGUUGCAUAUUGUUUGGUGAUGUUUGUGUAUCGAUGUCCUUUGCGACAGGAUCUGUCCCCGAGGAGUACCGUGAUUACCCUAACGAAGAACCGUAUCCGUGCAACGAACCAUCAGGCAAGCAACCAACCAUCUGAUCAUAUCGAUACAAUCCCAUGUUCUCGCUCCUGCUCUCUUUUACUGCAUUAAGACAACGCGAUUCAAACUGCUGUGUGUUACGGUAGUUGAACCCAUUUCCUCUGCAUGACCUGUCAUUGCCACAGUAACUAGAUGAAACCCACUAGCAUGUGUAGGAGUUGAUUGAGCCAUAUGUAUGUGUUGUUCCUACCUUCCUAAGCCUGCUAUGCUUAGAGUCGUGUCAGGUCUGGUUCAUCUGGGUGAUGGGCUAGAGUGAAAUGAUUAUGUCGGUAAUGAGAGUGGUGUGGUGAACACGAUUUGGUAAAGGUAUCGAUGAGAGGCCAUGUAGGAGUACAUGGUGGGUUGUUUCAUUGAAGCCGACCUUAAGCACUGAGAUCUGUAUGUGUGAUUUAAGAAUCAGCUACUACCAUGCAUUGGGCCCGAAACCAAUGGACCCUCUCGACUUCUUAUUCACCCUAGUUCUCCGUCCAGGAGUUGCAAGUAGUUUCUGGUGUUUGUAGCCUACUGGAGGCCGUGGACAGUGCUGACCGUAGGGGUGGGCUGUGAUGCGGUAGGUACGUGGCACGGUGUACCGAAUACCCGUUAGGUAUCUCGGGAACCCUGUUCACAUCGUUCGGGGCCGUAUGGGAAACCUCGGCCGGACUCCCUGCGGAUGGAACCUGAAUAGGCGAUAAACCUGGACUGGAGGCUUAGGUGAUUAGGUAGGUUGUGGCCGACACCCACGUUGGGCUUCCGCUUGAAGGUUGCCGAGUACAUGUCGUGUAAACGACGGUAAGUGGUGAGAGCGUGUAUGAAGAAGUACACCCCUGCAGGGUUAACAUGAUCUAUUCGAAUAGCCGCGUCCGCGGUAAAGGACUACUUGGUUGCCUAUACAGUUCAUAGACAAGUAAAUGGAAACUACUAAAAGCCUCAAGAUAAGUGUGAGUGCCGAGGAUGGCUCUUCCGUAGGAAGACGGAGGUGGAUCCUCGGUAUGGUAUUGAAGUGGUGAGUAGUGGACUCGUGUGCGCAAAACCUUUUCAAAUUGAAGUAUCGUAGGAUAGCCUAGCCAAGAGUCAAAGCUGGCUUGCUGCAAUAACUCCACCAACCCUUCUUGAUACUAUGCAUGUAUGUAGGAUCUGAUGUAAGUCUUGUUGAGUACCUUUGUACUCAUGUUGCUGUAAUCUACAUUUUUACAGAAGACGCUGCAACCCCUUCUGAUGGGUUCUAUGUAGACGUUGACAUCAACGAGUAGGCUAAAGACCCAGGUGGUGACCCUGAGCUUGUGAUGGACCACGUAGUAUAGCUAGGCUUUCCAAGCCUCUUUUAUUUUACUAGUUGUCUGUACUCAGACAAUGUACUUCCGCUGCUGGUUUGUAUGACUGUAUGACUUGUAUGUUGGGUCGUGAGACCCGUAUCUUUGUGUAUGCUAUGUAUGGCUCCCUGAGCCUUAAAUAAAGUACUUGUGUCAUAGAGUCAUGUUGUGAUGCUUCGUUGUAUUUGCACAUAUCGAGCAUAUUGUGUGUAUGAUUGAAAUGCUUGGUAUGUGUGGGAUCUGACUAUCUAGUUGUUUAUCUUUAGUAGCCUCUCUUACCGGGAAAUGUCUCCUAGUGUUACCGCUGAGCCAUGGUAGCUUGCUACUGCUCUGGAACACUUAGGCUGGUCGGCAUGUGUCCUUCUUCGUUCCUGUGUCUGUCCCUUCGGGGAAAUGUCACGCUUUGAGUACCGGAGUCCUGUUAGCCCGCUACAGCCCGGUUUACCGGAGUCCUGCUAGCCCAGUGCUACAGCCCGGACCCAUUUGCUAAUGACCGACACGUUCGGAGCUGGGUCAUGGAUGCCUGUCCCUGUAAGUCUGUGCCACUUUGGGUUUACGACUAGUCAUGUCAGCCCGGGCUCCUUAUCAUAUGGAUGCUAGCGACACUAUCAUAUACGUGAGCCAAAAGGCGCAAACGGUCCCGGGCAAAGGUAAGGCGACACCCGUGGGAAUACCGUGCGUGAGGCCGCAAAGUGAUAUGAGGUGUUACCGGCUAGAUCGAUGUGACAUCGAGUCGGGGUCCCGACACUGGCGGCCACCUUGGGCUCCUGCCCUUGGCCGCGUCCCCCCUUCCUUCUUGAGCGUGCGGGGGAAGGCAGGAGGGGGUGCCCCCCUUUUCCUUCCUCUUAGGUGCAGGGAAGGCGGGAGGGGCUAGCCUUGGUGUGCUCCCCUCCCUUGGCCCAUAUGGCCCAUUAACCUCCUUAGGCCUCCCGGAACCCCUUCCGGUGAUCCGAUGACUACCUGGUAUGUCCCAAAACCUUUCCUGUGACCAAAUAGCAUCGUCCUAUAUAUCAAUCUUUACCUCCGGACCAUUCCGGAGCUCCUCCUCAUGUCCAUGAUAUCAUCUGGGACUUCGAGCAACAUUUGGUCACCAAAUCACAUAACUCAUGUAAUACUAUAUCAUCAACGAAUGUUAAGCGUGCGGACCCUACGGGUUCGAGAAUGACGUAGACAUGACUGAGACGCCUCUUCGGUCAAUAACCAAUAGCCGGACCUGGCUAUCCAUAUUGGAGUUGUAAAUUUGUAAAUCUUUUUCAACAUUAUUGAGUCUUUCUAACAAUUGCAUAAAUUUUGUCCACCAUCCUCACCAAGCUCCACCAAAGGCAUAUGUGAGAAUUGAUGAGAUACAGUACCAAUUGUGCUAUUUCCUUGCCGUACUGUUGAGUGAUAUUGAUCCAUUUUCAACAUCGGGUAAGGUACAUUUGGUCUAGUUCUUUUAAUUAUCCCACUCACAUUUGCUUGAGAUGAUGGAUAGGCCAACUACUUCUUCAAACCCACUCUUCAUCGAGCAUGAUAAGGACCCGAACAACUACGUCACCAAGAGCCACCUCUUCGGUGCGCAAAGAGUUUUGCAUCAAGAGAAUGAAGCAUUGAGCAAACGCAUCAACCUAUACUCGCUAUCGAUUUGCAAUAAUCCGAGCAACAUACAAGGAACUACUUUGAAAACAAGCUUAACACAAAAAAAGAAGAGAGCAAUGCAAGAAUGGACGAGAUUUGUGCCUUUUGGUCAAUCGCUCUUCUACAUCUUCGUCCUACUCAAGACAGAGCCACUCAAGUCGACAUUCUUCGCAAUCUUCUUCUGAUGCAAGUACUCCACGAGCUUGUUCGCAUCGUCGUCAAAACCAUCAAGUUCACCCAACUCCACAAAACCCAUUCCAUGGCAAUGGUUUACAAUGCUGUCUCCAUGAACGUGAAUGCAUAUGGCACCAAGGUAAUGAACCUCCGGUCCAAGAGCAAGCUCCAACGCGCCAAAACCGACAAGAACAACAAGAUGGUGAUGCCCCUCGACAAGAGAAACAUCAUUGUGAGGAACAAACCCUUGAAGCCCAACAUGCUCUACGCGAAGCUACACCAGCCGUUGACGAGCGCAACCGCCAAGCACGACUUCAAGAAGAGGCCCUUUGACGAGAGUGACAAGAAGAAGCCGCACGCCUUGAGGAGCGCCAAGAAAUGAGGAACCGUGCAAGAAUUCCACAACCUCAAUGACAAAACAAUCAAGCGGAGCACGAAGAGAAAGUGGCUCAAGACCCACCUCCACGCCAAGAGCAUCAUAACCAUUGACCCCAACACAAUGAAGAGCAACACUACGACAGCAUCAAGUUCACCAUGCCUAAGUUCUCCAGAAGCAACAAUCCCGAAGACUACCUUUCAUGGGCAUUGAAGGUCGACAAGAUAUUUUGUUUGCACAACUAUGAAGAAAAAAAGAAGAUCACCAUGGCUUCUCUUGAGUUCCAACAUUAUGUCCUCAUUUGGUGGGAGCGAGUCAUUGAGCGUCGAGCGGUGCUAUGUCUUGAGCUUGCGUUGGUUUUCCCCGAAGAGGAGAGGAUGAUGCAGCACAGUAGCGUAAGUAUUUCCCUCAAUUUUUGAGAACCAAGGUAUCAAUCCAGUAGGAGGUCACAUGCAAGUCCCUCGUACCUGCACAACACGAUAGCAACUCGCAACCAACGCUUAGGGGUUGUCAAUCCCUUCAUGGUUACUUAUGAGAGUGAGAUCUGAUAGAGAUAAUAUUUUUGGUAUUUUUGAUAGAUAGAUGCAAAGUAAAAAGGUAAAGGCAAAGUAAAAACAAAGCAAGUAAAUAAAGUGAUAUAGAUUGAUAUGAUGAGAAUAGACCCGGGGGCCAUAGGUUUCACUAGUGGCUUCUCUCAAGAGCAUAAGUAUUCUACGGUGGGUGAACAAAUUACUGUUGAGCAAUUGACAGAAUUGAGCAUAGUUAUGAGUAUAUCUAGGCAAUGAUCAUGUAUAUAGGCAUCACGUCCGUGACAAGUAGAUCGAAACGAUUCUGCAUCUACUACUAUUACUCCACUCAUCGACCGCUAUCCAUCAUGCAUCUAGAGUAUUAAGUUAAAAACAGAGUAACACUUUAAGCAAGAUGACAUGAUGUAGAGGGAUAAAUUCAUGCAAUAUGAUAAAAACCCCAUCUUGUUAUCCUCAAUGGCAACAAUACAAUACGUGCCUUGCAACUCUUUCUGUCACCGAGUAAGGACACCGCAAGAUUGAACCCAAAGCCAUGCACUUCUCCCAUUGCAAGAACUACCAAUCUAGUUGGCCAAACCAAAUGGAUAAUUCGAAGAGACUUGCAAAGAUAACUCAAUCAUACAUAAAAGAAUUCAGAGAAGAAUCAAAUAUUUUCCAUAGAUAAUACUGGAUCAUAAACCCACAAUUCAUCGGUCUCAACAAACACACCGCAAAAAGAAGAUUACAUCGAAUAGAUCUCCACGAGAGAGGGGGAGAACAUUGUAUUGAGAUCCAAAAAGAGAGAAGAAGCCAUCUAGCUACUAGCUAUGGACCCGAAGGUCUGAAGUAAACUACUCACACUUCAUUGGAGGGGCUAUGGUGAUGAUGUAGAAGCCCUCCGUGGUGGAUGCCCCCUCCGGCGGAGCUCCGGAACAGGCCCCAAGAUGGGAUCUCAUGGAUACAGAAGUUUGCGGCGGUGGAAUUAGGUUUUUGGCUCCUGUUCUGAUCAUACGGGGAUACGUAGGUAUAUAUAGGAGGAAGGAGUAUGUCGGUGGAGCUCCGAGGGGCCCACGAUGUAGGGGGGCGCGCCUAGGGGGGGCGCCCUCCACCCUCGUGACUGCCUCGUGGCUUUCUUGACGGAGGGUCCAAGUCUCCUGGGUCUUAUCUGAUGAGAAAAUCACGUUCCCGAAGGUUUCAUUCUGUUUGGACUCCGUUUGAUAUUCUGUUUCUUCGAAAUACUGAAAAAGGCAAAAAACAGCAAUUCUGGGCUGGGCCUCCGGUUAAUAGGUUAGUCCCAAAAAUAAUAUAAAAGUGGAAAAUAAAGCCCAUUAUAGUCCAAAACAGUAGAUAAAGUAGCAUGGAGCAAUCAAAAAUUAUAGAUACGUUGGAGACGUAUCAAGCAUCCCCAAGCUUAAUUCCUGCUCGUCCUCGAGUAGGUAAAUGAUAAAAAAAAGAAUUUUUGAUGCGGAGUGAUACUUUGGCAUAAUUUUAAUGUAAAUCUUCUUAAUUGUGAUAUGAAUAUUCAGAUCCGAAAGAUUCAAGACAAAAGUUCAUAUUGACACAAAAAUAAUAAUACUUCAAGCAUACUAAUCAAAGCAAUCAUGUCUUCUCAAAAUAACAUGGCAAAAGAAAGUUCAUCCCUACAAAAUCAUAUAGUUAGGCUAUGCUUCAUUUUCGUCACACAAAGAUGUUCCCAACUUCUAUACCCCCGAUGACAAGCCAAGCAAUUGUUUCAUACUUAAAUAAUCUCAAACUUUUUCAACCUUCACGCAAUACAUGAGCGUGAGACAUGGAUAUAGCACUAUGGGUGGAAUAGAAUAUGAUGAUGGGGAUUGUGUGGAGAAGACAAAAAAGGAGAAAGUCUCACAUCAACGAGGCUAAUCAAUGAGCUAUGGAGAUGCCCAUCGAUUGAUGUUAAUGCAAGGAGUAGGGAUUGCCAUGCAACAGAUGCACUAGAGCUAUGAAUGCUCAACAAAAGAAAACUAGUGGGCGUUCAUCCAACUUGCUUGCUCAUGAAGACCUAGGGCAUUUUGAGGAAGCCCAUCGUAGGAAUAUACAAUCCAAGUUCUAUAAUGAAAAAUUCCCACUAGUAUCAAUAAGACAACUUAAGAGACUCACUAUAUGAAAAACAUGGUGCUACUUUGAAGCACAAUAUAUGAGACUCACUACAUGAAGAACAAGGUGCUACUUUGAAGCACAAUAUAUGAGACUCACUACAUGAAGAACAAGGUGCUACUUUGAAGCACAAGUGUGCAAAAGAGAUAGUAGCAUUGCCCUUUUUUUUGGGGCCUUUCUUUUUUUCUUUUGGCCUUUCUCUUUUUUUAUUUGGGCAAUGCUCUAAUAAUGAUGAUCAUCACACUUUCAUUGGUUACAACAUAAGGAUUACAACUCGAAACUAGAACAAGAUAUGACUCUAUAUGAAUGCCUCCGGAGGUGUACCGGGAUGGUGCAAUGAAUCAAGAGUGACAUGUAUGAAAAAUAAUGCAUGCUGGCUUUGCCACAAAUACGAUGUCAACUACAAGAUCAUGCAAUGGCAAUAUGACAAAAGUAAUGCAUGUCACGAGGAUGAUGGUGGAAGUUGCAUGGCAAUAUAUCUCGGAAUGGCUAUGGAAAUGCCAUGAUAGGUAGGUAUGGUGGCUGUUUUGAGGAAGAUAUAAGGAGGUUUAUGUGCGAUAGAGCGUAUCGUAUCACGGGGUUUGGAUGCACCGGCGAAGUUUGCACCAACUCUCAAGGUGAGAAAGGGCAAUGCACGGUACCGAAGAGGCUAGCAAAGGCGGAAAGGUGAUAGUGCGUAUAAUCCAUGGACUCAACAUUAGUCAAAAGAACUCAUAUACUUAUUGAAAAAAUUUAGAAGUCAUCAAAAAUCAAGUACUACGUGCAUGCUCCUAGGGGGAUAGAUAGGUAGGAAAAGACCAACGCUCGUCCCCGACCGCCACUCAUAAGGAUGCACAAGCCAGGUACACUUCAUGUUUCAAAUUUGUUACACAACUUUAACCAUACAUGCAUGCUACUGGACUUGCAAACUUCAACACAAGUAUUUCUCAAAUUCAUAAUCACCCAACUAGCACGACUUUGAUAUUAUCACAUCCAUAUCUCAAAACAAUUAUCAAGCAUCAAACUUAUCUUAGUAUUCAACGCACUCAAAAGAAAGUUUCACAUAUCUUGAAUACCAAGUAUAUUAACAUUAAGCAAAUUACCAUGCUAUUAAAGACUCUCAAAAUAAUCUAAGUGAAGCAUGAGAGAUCAAGUUUCUUUAAAACAAAUCCACCACUGUGCUCUAAAAAGAUCUAAGUGAAGCACUAAAGCAAAAAUUAUCACGCUCAAAAGGAUAUAAGUGAAGCACUAUGAGCAAAAACUAUCAAGCUCAAAAGAUAUAAGUGAAGCACAUAGAGUAUUCUAAUAAAUUUCAAUUCAUGUAUGGCUCUGUCAAAAGGUGUGUACAGCAAAGAUGAUUGUGGUAGACUAACAAGCAAAGACACAAAUAAACCAAGACGCUCCAAGCAAAACACAUAUCAUGUUGGUGAAUAAAAAUAUAGCUCCAAGUAAAUUACCGAUGGAAGUGGACGAAAGAGGGGAUGCCUUCCGGGGCAUACCCAAGCUUUGACUUUUUGGUGUCCUUGGAUUAUCUUGGGGGUGCCAUGGGCAUCCCCAAGCUUAGUCUCUUGCCACUCCUUGUUCCAUAAUCCAUCAAAAGAAUUCACCCAAAACUUGAAAACUUCACAACACAAAACUCAACAGAAAUCUCGUGAGCUCCGUUAGAGAAAGAAAACAAAAGACUACUUCAAGGUACUGUAAUGAACUCAUUCUUUAUUUAUAUUGGUGUUAAACCUACUGUAUUCCAACUUCUCUAUGGUUUAUAAACUAAUUUAUUAGCCAUAGAUUCAUCAAAAUAAGCAAACAACACACAAAAAACAGAAUCUGUCAAAAACAGAACAGUCUGUAGUAAUCUGUAACUAACGCAAACUUCUGGAACUCUAAAAAUUCUACCAAAAUAUUAAGUCCUGGAAAAUUUGUUUAUUGAUCAGCAGAAAAAAUAAUCAACGCAAAAUCACUCUCCAGUAAAAAAUGACAGCUAAUCUCGUGAGCGCUAAAGUUUCUGUUUUUCAGCAGAAUCAAAUCAACUAUCAUCGUAGGUUAUCCUAUAGGUCCUACUUGGCACAAACACUAAUUAAAACAUAAAACCACAUCCAAACAGAAGGUAGAUGGAUUAUUUAUUGCUAAACAGAAGCAAAAACAAAAAACACAAAAUAAAAUUGGGUUGCCUCCCAACAAGCGCUAUCAUUUAACGCCCC